Non-coding RNA from Caenorhabditis elegans, 145 nucleotides. The record is from Ensembl. NCBI's taxonomy places the organism in Eukaryota, Metazoa, Nematoda, Chromadorea, Rhabditida, Rhabditidae.
AGAUUUCUAGGCCACCAAUUCGAAAACUAGUCCCUGAAAUGAUCAAAUUCGGCAUGAUGAGCUCACCGAGAGCUUUCAUUUGACACCCAUCAUGUCUAGGUUCCAAAAAAUUCGAAUUUUUAGAUAAAAAUUUUGGGUCUCGCCG